GGGGUUGUGGCUCAGAGGAAAAGCAUUUGCCUAGCACGCAUGAGGCACUGAGUUCGAUUCUCAGCACCA
RNAcentral lists this transfer RNA (69 nucleotides) under Ictidomys tridecemlineatus (thirteen-lined ground squirrel). Its description in RNAcentral is "Spermophilus tridecemlineatus (thirteen-lined ground squirrel) tRNA". It matches the Rfam family "tRNA". From Rfam's summary of the family: Transfer RNA (tRNA) molecules are approximately 80 nucleotides in length. Lineage: Eukaryota; Metazoa; Chordata; Mammalia; Rodentia; Sciuridae. The record is from Rfam by way of RNAcentral.